AACGUAGGCGCCAAGCGUUAUUCGGGAUCACUGGGCGUAAAGCGCGCGUAGGCGGAUUCAUAAGUCGAGUAUAAAAUCCCUCGGCUCAACCGGGGAACCGUGCUCGAUACUGUGAAUCUUGAGUGCAGGAGGGGAGAGUGGAAUUCCCGGUGUAGCGGUGAAAUGCGUUGAUAUCGGGACGAACGCCUGUGGUGAAAACGGCUCUCUAGUCUGCUACUGACGCUGAAGUGCGAAAGCCAGGGGAG
This 245-nucleotide ribosomal RNA is filed under the name uncultured bacterium. Its description in RNAcentral is "partial 16S ribosomal RNA". It matches the Rfam family "Bacterial small subunit ribosomal RNA", at positions 524 to 768 of the family's 1533-position model. The record is from RNAcentral.